Molecule: ribosomal RNA, 419 nt
Filed under: uncultured bacterium
Lineage: Bacteria
Description: partial 16S ribosomal RNA
Rfam family: Bacterial small subunit ribosomal RNA
Source: RNAcentral
AAUAUUUCUCAAUGGUGGCAACUCUGAACCAGCCACGUCGCGUGAAGGAUGUCUGCCCUACGGGUUGUAAACUUCUUUUAUACAGGAAUAAAGUGAGUCACGUGUGUCUUUUUGCAUUUACUGUAUUAAUAAGGAUCGGCCAACUCCGUGCCAGCAGCCGCGGUAAUCCGGAGGAUCCAAGCGUUAUCCGGAUUUAUUGGGUUUAAAGGGUGCGCAGGCGGAAGAUUAAGUCGGCGGUGAAAUUUUGCAGCUCAACUGUAAAAGUGCCAUCGAUACUGGUUUUCUUGAGUGUGGAUGAAGUAGGCGGAAUUUGUGGUGUAGCGGUGAAAUGCAUAGAUAUCACGAGGAACUCCGAUUGCGCAGGCAGCUUACUAGGCCAUAACUGACGCUCAGGCACGAAGGCGUGGCGAUCAAACAGG